Molecule: ribosomal RNA, 450 nt
Filed under: uncultured bacterium
Lineage: Bacteria
Description: partial 16S ribosomal RNA
Rfam family: Bacterial small subunit ribosomal RNA
Source: RNAcentral
GUGGGGAAUAUUGGACAAUGGGCGAAAGCCUGAUCCAGCCAUGCCGCGUGUGUGAAGAAGGUCUUCGGAUUGUAAAGCACUUUAAGUUGGGAGGAAGGGCAUUAACCUAAUACGUUAGUGUUUUGACGUUACCGACAGAAUAAGCACCGGCUAACUUCGUGCCAGCAGCCGCGGUAAUACGAAGGGUGCAAGCGUUAAUCGGAAUUACUGGGCGUAAAGCGCGCGUAGGGGGUUCGUUAAGUUGGAUGUGAAAGCCCCGGGCUCAACCUGGGAACUGCAUCCAAAACUGGCGAGCUAGAGUACGGUAGAGGGUGGUGGAAUUUCCUGUGUAGCGGUGAAAUGCGUAGAUAUAGGAAGGAACACCAGUGGCGAAGGCGACCACCUGGACUGAUACUGAUACUGAGGUGCGAAAGCGUGGGGAGCAAACAGGAUUAGAAACCCUUGUAGUCC